This is a long non-coding RNA of Hemicordylus capensis (graceful crag lizard), 2931 nucleotides long. RefSeq lists it as uncharacterized. Lineage: Eukaryota; Metazoa; Chordata; Lepidosauria; Squamata; Cordylidae. The transcript is spliced from 3 exons. The record is from RefSeq and is a predicted model, not a curated record.
CCUGGCCCUAACUGCUCACUGGUGUGGCCCAGAUAGAGGGAGGACCUCUGGUGCUGCCUCUGGUUCCAGCAUGUCCCACACUGCAUUUUGGCAUGGUUGGGCCAUCUUGCAUGUGGAGACCUUGGAUGUCAAGGAGGAGGUGGCAGCCGUACUCAGCCACCAAACUGAGGAGUAGAUUGGUUGUUUGCCACACCUCACCCGGGGCUUCAUUGUGACAUACAAUGGCUCCAACUAGGCUUGUGCAUUUUGAUUCGGGCACAAAUCGAUUUGUGCCUGAAAAUGGCAGUUUCUGAUUAUUUGUCUACAAAUCGAAACCAGAAUUAGACCUCUGAUAAUUUUCCUUUACAAACCUUUACAAACCAAAUGACCUCCUCUCGGAUCUGAGUUUUGUUUACUUCGGAAAACACUUCAGCGCUCCAUCAGCAUUGCAUUGCAAAUUGUCCUUUUUGUCUCUCCACACAGACUCUAGCAGCAACUGACUGAGUGUUUGUCAGAAGGAUUAGCAUAGCAGAAGAUAAGAUAUGCAAAAAGGGACACAGCUUCUGAAGACAUUUAGUGAAGAGAAAUGAGCUGUAUUGUGAUGCAAUUGUGUGCUGAGAAUGAAAUGAUUAAGCUGAGAGCAGCCAAUUCAUUGUCAACUCUAAGUAACAAUAUCCGGAGCUUCCCACUCUGUCUGGGGGGCUGCUGGGGGUGCCUGGAGGAGAGACUUCUUACAGCUUUGCCCCCCUUUUCUCCCUCUUUAUUAUCUUGUGUGUAAUGAAUAAGAUUCAACAUGCCCUGUCCUGUUUGCAUUUAAAAUAUUUAAGCCCUUGCAGAAAACAAAACAAAAUGCCAGCAAGGACACCACCUGCAAGCCUCUUUCAAGGUAUAUAGGAGGCACAAGCUAUUAUGCUUGGUUAAAGCAAAAAGCAUACACUUGCUAUUAACACACUGGGAAGUAUAUAAGUGGAAUAUGAGGAGGGGGAGGGUUUGAGAGGUAGCAUGAUACAGGAAGACAUUCUGAUUGACAGAUUUUUAAACUUCAGAUUUGCAUUGGGGGGGGGGGACUAGUCGGAGUUUAGACACAGCUGCCUUUAUUAAAUUUGAUGGCUCUAUUUCCCAUUUCCAGAAAGAGAGAACUGAGUUUGCACCAGGAAUAUAUAUGCUGGUGUAGGGCACCAUUUCCUCGUUACUGCUGCAUGUGUGGGUGAAGAGAGAGCUCCAUUCAUUGCUCUUCCAUCAUCCUUUGCCCCAUCCUCCACCAUUGACUCCAUUUUCCCGGGGGAGCUGCCAUUCUCCAGGAUUUAUGCCCUUCCUUAGCCUCGCUGACCAGACUGCUGCUUCUCCAGCCUUUUAAAAAAAGGCUUGAUGUUGGAAUGAAGGAUUAUAGAAUUGAUGGUUCAGAAGAAUCUGAGGCACACCACAACUGAUUUCAUUAUAAGGAACACCAUGCUGGAAGUGUAGUGAAAUGGCAACAUUCAGAACACACAGGGGAAUGCAGGUGUGAGCCCACCCCACUCCAAGCAUGGCACCUUGUGCAUCUGCAGAACUCACUGAGAAUGUGAGUUCCUAGCUAAGAAAAACGAACAUUUCAAACUCAACAGUAAUGAGGAUUCAAACCUCAGCAUCUCAGUUCCCAGUAUUUAAGCUGAACGAAAUACAGUGUGAUUUACCUAAAGGCAAUCAUCACAGUCUGUUAGCUAGUCAAGUGCUUUCUACAAGACAACCUUAAUCUACAACUUUGGUUUCCUGCCAGCUGUCCUUGGGCAAAGGGAACAAUGUCCACUUUUGUUUCUGUGCCACAUUCUGCAGCAGUUUGGAGAUGAUUGCCCAGUACAAUCCAUUAUGUUUUCAUCUGUUGGUUCAUACACUAGACAUCCAACAGACUUCAUCUUAUGUGGGCAUCUAUGAGUUGUUUCUCAAGACUGAAAAGUAACAAGGGCCGCCUCAUCCUUGCAGACUGUUGUUCCCAGUCUGGAUGAUUGGACAACCAGUCAAUAAAACUGGUAAUGGCAGCAACAUCAAUCACGUUGAAAAAAGUGCCGGUGGUCACCUUUUGCUGGCAGAUGUUUGUUCUUACUAGGUGAUUUAGAUUGUCAACAUCACUCUUCAUCACAUUGGCAUGCAAAACAGUGAGGCCGUUCUCACGACCAGUCCUACCCGGGCAAGAACUGCCCUCCCUGGGUAGGGCUGGUUGUGAGAUCCACCAGGAUCGCUUGCGAUCCCAGUGCUCCUCAGCCAGAUCGCCUGGGUUUUGUACCCAGGGUAAAAGUGAGGCUGGAGGGUGCAUGCAUGCCCUCCAACCUCACCUACCUGUCGUUUGUGUAGAACCAGUUCGAUCCAAACUGGGUCCAGUUCAGUCCAAACUAGGACUGGCUCCCCUUUGGUGGUGGGGGGCAGUCUGGUUUGAAUUGGGCCAGUUCGAAUUGAGCUGGGUUUGAUUUGAACCAGUUCUGCUCACACAAAAUUGUACAGGAAGCAACUUUAACUGACAAACAAGAGUUUGAUAUUUAUUACUAACUGAAACAUAGGCUAAGAAAACAAUAAACAGACUAACAGUCUCUUAUGCAGUGAGAGGGAGAACCUCUCAGUUUGAAUUCAGGACAGCAAGUAAGAAGCUUGAAGGAAGGAGGAGCUUAGUCUCCACCCGUAAACCCAAACAUAGACACAAACAUAUACAGACAAGCAUGCACCUAGACAAGAGCAGAGACAACACUUAUGCAGUAAAUUCCAAUAGAAACAGGGCUAUGUAUGUUCCUGGGGAAUAAGUCUAUGAGGUCUGAGACCUCAGAGGAGUGUGUGAUUGCCCCUUUGCUCUCCUUCUUGAAGAUGAGGAGGUGUCUGAUCAAAGCUCUGACGGCUUCUCAACAGCUUACCAGGAAGAAAGCUUUGGGAAAUACAAGAGAAAUGUAUCUCUUUACCUCUCAAAUUGCAUAAAGUAUACAAAAUUAA